AAGUCGUAACAAGGUUUCCGUAGGUGAACCUGCGGAAGGAUCAUUAUUGAAUUUAAUGUAGAGUUGGUUGUAGCUGGCCUAAUUAAUAUUUGGGCAUGUGCACACCUUCUCUUUCAUCCACACACACCUGUGCACCUGUGAGACAGAGUGGGAAUUUUAAUUUAAUUUAAUUGGACCCUCUGUCUACUUAAUUCACACAAACUCUAUUUAUUAUAAAAUGAAUGUAAUUGAUGUAACGCAUCUAAUACUAAGUUUCAACAACGGAUCUCUUGGCUCUC
RNAcentral lists this unclassified non-coding RNA (278 nucleotides) under fungal sp. RNAcentral describes it as "partial internal transcribed spacer region". The stretch from base 1 to 46 matches the Rfam family "Eukaryotic small subunit ribosomal RNA", at positions 1786 to 1831 of the family's 1831-position model. The record is from RNAcentral. Lineage: Eukaryota; Fungi.